GACGAACGCUGGCGGCGUGCUUAACACAUGCAAGUCGAACGGAAAGGCCCUGCUUUUGUGGGGUGCUCGAGUGGCGAACGGGUGAGUAACACGUGAGUAACCUGCCCUUGACUUUGGGAUAACUUCAGGAAACUGGGGCUAAUACCGGAUAGGAGCUCCUGCUGCAUGGUGGGGGUUGGAAAGUUUCGGCGGUUGGGGAUGGACUCGCGGCUUAUCAGCUUGUUGGUGGGGUAGUGGCUUACCAAGGCUUUGACGGGUAGCCGGCCUGAGAGGGUGACCGGCAACAAUGGGACUGAGAUACGGCCCAGACUCCUACGGGAGGCAGCAGUGGGGAAUAUUGCACAAUGGGCGGAAGCAGGAUGCAGGAACGCCGCGUGCGGGAUGACGGCCUUCGGGUUGUAAACCGCUUUCGCCUGUGACGAAGCGUGAGUGACGGUAAUGGGUAAAGAAGCACCGGCUAACUACGUG
Molecule: ribosomal RNA, 468 nt
Filed under: uncultured bacterium
Lineage: Bacteria
Description: partial 16S ribosomal RNA
Rfam family: Bacterial small subunit ribosomal RNA
Source: RNAcentral